UUAAGAUGAUGUUUGAUGAGUAUUUAGUAUGUGGUAGAAAUCUCUACCUUGUAUAUGAUAUAAGUAAGCUGAAAUGAGGAAAAAGUGUUAUUGGGUGUGAUUACGGCCUGUUUUUCGAUCCUUUUCAUUUUCCAUUGGUGUCUGAGUCCUUCAUGAAAGUUGUAGGUCUACUUCUUAGCUUUCCACCCCAUCCUCUUGUGUCCAAUUUGGAUAUAUAUAGCUCAACUUAUGGCUAAAACACCUAAACUGACUCUGUUGUAACGUACCACAUGCAGCAAUAGAUUGAGUGACUAUUUUGACCACCAUAAUGGCAAGAUUAGGUGUUGAGCUCUUCAUGAGAUUUGUUACCCUGUGUCUUGAGAUUGCCCUGGUGUUGGAUUGGUUUAAUUUGAGUGUCUGGUUACGGAGAAAUUCAAUAAACAUUGGACUUGGUUCUGCUGAAUCCGGUCUGGACUAUCAGUCUGUGUUCCUAGCUUAUUUUGCCUAUCUUGCAGAUUUAUCUGGGUUAUGGUCCCUUCAUAACAUUUGUAGAAUUUUGUCUUAGCUUUCUAAUGAAUCUAAUUUCAUUCAAUUUGGAGACAUAUAAUUCAAGUUAUGUCUUAAAAACCCAGCAAAGGUCAAGGUUAUUUUACUGCUGGAAAUUUUCUAUGUCUUGAAUCAUAGGUUUAUUUGGAUAAAUGUAGGUAUGAAUCAUGUGUGAUGAAGUUCUCUUGAUUCUUUGUAUCCUUUAAGAUUUAUUUGACAAAAA
Molecule: long non-coding RNA, 748 nt
Filed under: Jatropha curcas
Lineage: Eukaryota; Viridiplantae; Streptophyta; Magnoliopsida; Malpighiales; Euphorbiaceae
Description: long non-coding RNA (JCUR_LNC001260)
Source: RNAcentral